UCGACGAACCUUCGGGUUAGUGGCGGACGGGUGAGUAACGCGUGAGAAUCUGCCCUCAGGAGGGGGAUAACGGUUGGAAACGACCGCUAAUACCCCAUAUGCCUAUUGGUGAAAUGAAUUUCGCCUGAGGAUGAGCUCGCGUCUGAUUAGCUAGUUGGUGAGGUAAUGGCUCACCAAGGCUUCGAUCAGUAGCUGGUCUGAGAGGAUGAUCAGCCACACUGGGACUGAGACACGGCCCAGACUCCUACGGGAGGCAGCAGUGGGGAAUUUUCCGCAAUGGGCGAAAGCCUGACGGAGCAACGCCGCGUGAGGGACGAAGGCCUCUGGGCUGUAAACCUCUUUUCUCAAGGAAGAAGAUAUGACGGUACUUGAGGAAUAAGCCACGGCUAAUUCCGUGCCAGCAGCCGCGGUAAUACGGGAGUGGCAAGCGUUAUCCGGAAUUAUUGGGCGUAAAGCGUCCGCAGGCGGCU
RNAcentral lists this ribosomal RNA (470 nucleotides) under uncultured bacterium. Its description in RNAcentral is "bacterial SSU rRNA". It matches the Rfam family "Bacterial small subunit ribosomal RNA", at positions 62 to 580 of the family's 1533-position model. The record is from RNAcentral.